ACAACAGUUGGAAACGACUGCUAAUACCGCAUAAGCCCACAGGUCGGCAUCGACCAGAGGGAAAAGGAGCAAUCCGCUUUGAGAUGGCCUCGCGUCCGAUUAGCUAGUUGGUGAGGUAAUGGCCCACCAAGGCAACGAUCGGUAGCCGGACUGAGAGGUUGAACGGCCACAUUGGGACUGAGACACGGCCCAGACUCCUACGGGAGGCAGCAGUGGGGAAUAUUGCACAAUGGGGGAAACCCUGAUGCAGCGACGCCGCGUGGAGGAAGAAGGUCUUCGGAUUGUAAACUCCUGUUGUUGAGGAAGAUAAUGACGGUACUCAACAAGGAAGUGACGGCUAACUACGUGCCAGCAGCCGCGGUAAAACGUAGGUCACAAGCGUUGUCCGGAAUUACUGGGUGUAAAGGGAGCGCAGGCGGGAAGACAAGUUGGAAGUGAAAUCUAUGGGCUCAACCCAUAAACUGCUUUCAAAACUGUUUUUCUUGAGUAGUGCAGAGGUAGGCGGAAUUCCCGGUGUAGCGGUGGAAUGCGUAGAUAUCGGGAGGAACACCAGUGGCGAAGGCGGCCUACUGGGCACCAACUGACGCUGAGGCUCGAAAGUGUGGGUAGCAAACAGGAUUAGAUACCCUGGUAGUCCACACCGUAAAC
This 648-nucleotide ribosomal RNA is filed under the name uncultured bacterium. RNAcentral's name for it is "bacterial SSU rRNA". It matches the Rfam family "Bacterial small subunit ribosomal RNA", at positions 143 to 807 of the family's 1533-position model. The record is from RNAcentral.